This 849-nucleotide ribosomal RNA is filed under the name uncultured Bacteroidota bacterium. Its description in RNAcentral is "bacterial SSU rRNA". It matches the Rfam family "Bacterial small subunit ribosomal RNA", at positions 55 to 894 of the family's 1533-position model. The record is from RNAcentral. Lineage: Bacteria; Pseudomonadati; Bacteroidota.
AUGCAAGUCGAGGGGCAGCAUAAAUUACUUGUAAUUUGAUGGCGACCGGCGAACGGGUGCGUAACGCGUAUGCAACCUACCUUUUACUAGAGAAUAGCCAAGAGAAAUUUUGAUUAAUGCUCUAUACACUUUAAGACUCACAUGAGUCUAAAAGAAAAGCUCCGGCGGUAAAAGAUGGGCAUGCGUUCUAUUAGCUUGUAGGUGAGGUAACGGCUCACCUAAGCUUCGAUAGAUAGGGGUCCUGAGAGGGAGACCCCCCACACUGGUACUGAGACACGGACCAGACUUCUACGGAAGGCAGCAGUAAGGAAUAUUGGACAAUGGAGGCAACUCUGAUCCAGCCAUGCCGCGUGAAGGAAGAAGGCCCUAUGGGUCGUAAACUUCUUUUAUACAGGAAGAAAUCUUUCCACGUGUGGAAAGUUGACGGUACUGUAAGAAUAAGGAUCGGCUAACUCCGUGCCAGCAGCCGCGGUAAUACGGAGGAUCCAAGCGUUAUCCGGAAUUAUUGGGUUUAAAGGGUCCGCAGGCUGUUUGUUAAGUUAGAGGUGAAAUCCUACCGCUCAACGGUAGAACUGCCUUUAAAACUGGCAAACUUGAGUUAUUGUGAAGUAAUUAGAAUGUGUAGUGUAGCGGUGAAAUGCAUAGAUAUUACACAGAAUACCGAUUGCGAAAGCAGAUUACUAACAAUUAACUGACGCUGAGGGACGAAGGCGUGGGUAGCGAACAGGAUUAGAUACCCUGGUAGUCCACGCCGUAAACGAUGGUCACUAGCUGUUUGAUGUACAUUGGUACAUUGAGUGGCUAAGCGAAAGUGAUAAGUGACCCACCUGGGGAGUACGCUCGCAAGAG